UUUGUUAUUUAUUAUUCAUAGAAAAUACACCUGACUCCAUCCAUUGACUUCUAUAAGAAAUUAGCCUUGGACUGUUCUGGUCAACAGGUAGCUGUUGACUUAUUCCUUCUCAGUGGACAGUAUUCUGAUUUGGCUUCUCCGGGACCUUGAGAAGUUAGAGAAAAGCUGAGUGAAAUGCCUGCAGUUACUUUGGUGUGGUAAUAGUAGCAUUAUUUAAAAGGAGUUUGUGGAGUGUCAGAAGGAGGAGCAUUUGGGGUUGGGAACCAGCAGGAGUCUGGAGGAUGAGAGGGACUUCCUGUCUCUGCCCAAUGUCAACCCAGAUGCCAGGUAUACAGUACAGAUGUCAGCGGAAAAGAGUCUUCCUGACAUGCAGUUGGGUUCUUUUCAGUCAGCACUCUUGUAUACAUCAAGCAAAGGUGAAAGAAGAAUACUAUCCGUACUUUGUGUUUGCCAGUAGUUUCAACUCUGAAUGAAGUCUUUCUGGAAGCUGAUGUUCAAGCAAUUUCAGGGUUAUUGGCCAAUAUGGGUUUUUUCUGAAGCACAUAUUACUGACCAGAAAUCAUUCCAGACUGGACAAACGUGUAUCUAGAAGAACACAUUUUGCUGUGUCAAGUGCAAACCCAGCCCUUGGUUCACCUUAUGCUCACAACUCAUCCCAGUUUGUACAGAAUUGACAAUCUCUCAGAUGAGGAAAGAUGGAUUCCUUUUUUUAGUGGCUUUUUCUAGAUGUUUUCUAAGCGUAAUCAUACUCAUUCCAGUGCUGAAUUGAGAAGAGGUUUGUUUGUUAUCUAAAGCUUUAUAUUUUUAUCUUUUUGCUAGUUAUAUGUAGAGAGAUACUGGUUCAGGGAAGCUCCUGAAAAUAGUACCUUUAUUUAGUUUCCUAAGUCAAGUCUCUAGAACAGAUGUAAGAAAUAAAGAAAAUGUCAAGUUGACCAGAGCAGCCUAUUUAUUUAAACAAAUUGAUCUGGAAGAUGUAUGGUAAGAGUGAAAUGACAUCUGAGUACCCUAGGUCCAUGUUCAAUGUAAUGCUGUCUUUGAAGUAAAGGGAAAAUAUUUAUCUGAGUUGUAAUAUUUUGCUUUUGAUAGGAAAUUUAUUAAAGUCAUAUUAUUUAUUGCCAUAUUUAUUAAAGUUAAAGCAUAAAAAUGUUAAAUCAUCAUCUAUUUACAGUUGUGCUCAAGUUAGUAUAUGUAGAGAUAGGGAGUAAUGUUUUGGUUAAAAUCUUUCAAAAUUUUUUAAAAAUUUAAGAUAUCUUUUGUAUUCAUUAUUUUUAUCAUCUUUGACAAAAUAUCUGACAAAAAUCACCUAAGGGAAGAAAGAUUUAUUCUACCUCACCGUUUCAGAGGUGUCAGUCCAUCAUGGUGGGGAGGUGUUGUGGAUCAGAGCAGUUCCCAUCAUGCAGCCAGGAGCAGAGAAAAGGAACACAGGAACCAGCCAGGGCAAGAUAUUCCCUUCAAGGACACCCCAGGGACCUUCUUCCUCCAACCAGGCCCCACCUCCCACCUUCACC
Non-coding RNA from Castor canadensis (American beaver), 1508 nucleotides. The record is from RefSeq and is a predicted model, not a curated record. Lineage: Eukaryota; Metazoa; Chordata; Mammalia; Rodentia; Castoridae.